RNAcentral lists this transfer RNA (111 nucleotides) under Lachancea mirantina. It matches the Rfam family "tRNA". From Rfam's summary of the family: Transfer RNA (tRNA) molecules are approximately 80 nucleotides in length. Their secondary structure includes four short double-helical elements and three loops (D, anti-codon, and T loops). Further hydrogen bonds mediate the characteristic L-shaped molecular structure. tRNAs have two regions of fundamental functional importance: the anti-codon, which is responsible for specific mRNA codon recognition, and the 3' end, to which the tRNAs corresponding amino acid is attached (by aminoacyl-tRNA synthetases). tRNAs cope with the degeneracy of the genetic code in two manners: having more than one tRNA (with a specific anti-codon) for a particular amino acid; and 'wobble' base-pairing, i.e. permitting non-standard base-pairing at the 3rd anti-codon position. The record is from Rfam by way of RNAcentral. Lineage: Eukaryota; Fungi; Ascomycota; Saccharomycetes; Saccharomycetales; Saccharomycetaceae.
GGGCGUGUGGUCUAGUGGUAUGAUUCUCGCUUUGGGCGAAGAUCGCGCUAAAACUCGAUCUGUGUAUCACAAAUAUGCGAGAGGCCCUGGGUUCAAUUCCCAGCUCGCCCC